Molecule: RNA transcript, 6697 nt
Organism: Cuculus canorus (common cuckoo)
Lineage: Eukaryota; Metazoa; Chordata; Aves; Cuculiformes; Cuculidae
Gene: DTNB
Gene name: dystrobrevin beta
Exons: 23
Source: RefSeq, a predicted model, not a curated record
GGGCGCGCGGCGAUUGGCCGGGAGCGCGCGAGGCGGCCGGUCGCCCGGGGCUGCGGAGCCGGCGGGAGCGGCGGCCCCGGCCCGGAGGACGGCGGCCCCACGGAGGUUGCUUUUAAGUGUUUGGAGAAGGAGCUGAACCCAAGAGAGCGGAAGUUGGUGUGAGAGACUUCUCAGCGUAAUUCAGAAUGAUUGAAGAGAGUGGGAAGAGGAGGAGGACGAUGGCGGAGAAGAGGCAGCUGUUCAUGGAGAUGAGAGCACAGAAUUUUGAUGUCAUCAGACUUUCAACGUAUCGAACAGCCUGCAAACUGCGCUUUGUACAAAAACGGUGUAAUCUUCAUCUCGUUGAUAUCUGGAAUAUGAUUGAAGCCUUCCGAGACAAUGGCCUUAACACUUUAGAUCAUAACACAGAGAUUAACGUGUCUCGACUAGAAACAAUCAUUUCAUCCAUCUACUACCAGCUAAACAAACGCCUGCCUUCUACUCACCAGAUCAGCGUAGAGCAAUCCAUAAGCCUCCUCCUCAACUUCAUGAUAGCAGCGUAUGACAGUGAGGGCCACGGGAAGUUGACGGUGUUUUCUGUGAAAGCCAUGUUAGCGACGAUGUGUGGUGGGAAAAUACUGGAUAAGCUCAGAUAUAUUUUCUCUCAAAUAUCAGACUCAAAUGGACUAAUGAUAUUCACCAAGUUUGACCAGUUCUUGAAGGAAGUUCUGAAGCUCCCGACAGCGGUAUUUGAGGGGCCUUCCUUCGGGUACACAGAGCAUUCUGUACGCACCUGCUUCCCACAACAAAAAAAGAUCAUGCUAAACAUGUUUUUAGACACAUUGAUGGCUGAUCCACCUCCUCAGUGCCUUGUGUGGCUGCCUCUCAUGCACAGACUUGCCCAUGUUGAAAAUGUCUUCCAUCCCGUGGAAUGCUCAUACUGCCGUUGUGAGAGCAUGAUGGGAUUCCGGUAUCGAUGCCAGCAGUGCCACAACUACCAGCUCUGUCAAAACUGCUUCUGGCGUGGUCAUGCGAACGGUCCUCACAGCAACCAGCACCAGAUGAAGGAGCACUCCUCUUGGAAAUCACCAGCGAAGAAGCUGAGCCACGCCAUUAGCAAAUCGCUCGGCUGCGUACCCAGCAGAGAGCCGCCUCGGCCUGUGUUUCCCGAGCAGCCGGAAAAGCCCCUCGAUCUGGCCCAUAUAGUUCCUCCGAGGCCACUGGCUAACAUGAAUGACACCAUGGUGACCCACGUGUCCUCGGGAGCCCCUACACCUACCAAAAGGUCCCGGUGCCUCCCAGAUCCGGCCAGCCGAUUAGCUGACGAGCACGCUCUGAUAGCAGCCUACGUGAGCCGGCUGCAGAACGGUGUGCGGUUAGCGUUAGGAAAGCCUUCCCGGAGCAGUGACGGCAGUGUCCUGGACAGCCCUGGCCGACUGGAUGAGGAGCACCGGCUGAUCGCCCGCUACGCCGCCCGGCUGGCUGCCGAAGCUGGAAGUGCGCCUCGCCCACCAACAGACCUGACUUUCAGCUUUGAUGCCAAUAAACAACAAAGACAGCUGAUCGCAGAGCUGGAAAACAAAAACAGGGAGAUACUCCAAGAAAUCCAGCGUCUCCGGCUGGAACAUGAGCAAGCCUCACAGCCCACCCCAGAGAAAGCCCAGCAGAACCCAACAUUAUUGGCUGAACUCAGGCUUCUACGGCAGAGAAAGGACGAGUUAGAACAGAGGAUGUCUGCGCUGCAAGAAAGCAGAAGAGAACUGAUGGUGCAGCUUGAAGGGCUGAUGAAACUGCUCAAAGAAGAAGAGCAAAAGCAGGCAGCGCAAGCAGCAGGCUCAGCACACUCCUCGCCCACCCACGGAGCCAGCCACCCUAUGCCCAUGCCCAUCAGAUCCACCUCCGCUGGCUCAACCCCAACUCACGUCCCACAGGAGGGGCUUGCAGGCGUUGGGGGAGAUGCGCAGGAAGCUUUCAUACAAGGUACAAGGAGGAACCUCCGCAACGACCUGCUAGUAGCAGCCGAUUCCAUCACCAACACCAUGUCCUCACUGGUGAAGGAGCUCCACUCAGCCGAGGAAGAAGAUGAAGAGGAAACAGAAAAGCUGCAGAAUGGAAAGGACCGAGGUUAGCUGGACACCCGAGGGUUGUACAGAAAUUCAGGUUGUCUGUGGUCCAAGAUGAGGAGCUCUGGGCUCAGCAGGACACUUGAUGGUCAUGGCAUGGAGGGUUACACUUACGACCGAGAGACGUCUCCCAUCCUUUGGAAGAGGCACGUUUCAGCUGACACAUUCACCAUCGUGCAACUGUGACCGAUCUCAACCACCUGCUGAAGAAAGCGGCUUUCUCCAAUCCACCUGAAGGGUUUUCCCCGUGGGCAUUUGCCUCUUAGGUCAUUGCAUGUCCUGUUUUCCUCCAUGCGUUUACUAAUGAUAAUCAGACAAUGCCGCAUCGAACUAAGCAAUGAAUGGGAGGUUUACAAAGCAAACGCAAAAGGAAAGCGAAUGCUCCCUGCUCCUGCUAAGUGUACGGAUUGUUUCUGAUUGCCUCCCAAACGGCGUCGUCACAUGCUGAUUAUCGCCUCUUGCCUUCUGCCCCUCGGUAUGCAUGAAAAACAUGGGAGUAGAACCUCCAGGGUCCUCUCCAAGGGGAUUCUGCCUUUGAGAACCCCACCUUCUCCAAACACUGCUGCCUGUCGGUGUCUGGUUGCCAUCGCGUGUGAUGUCACGGGUCGUGCUGGGAGUAAGGACAGGGCAAUGAGCCACCAGCAUUCCCAGCAUUCCCAGCUCAGCUUCUCCUCAGACUGUUAAAAAAUCUCCUUUUGCAAGCAGGAAAUUCAGGGAGGAGCAUUGCAAGGCUUGGGUUGGUGUCUCUGCCUUCACUGUCAGGGGUCAGGUUCAGUUUUGUUUAAGAGGAAGAACCGAGUUGCGUUGUCCCAGCUUGGCCGCUCCCCAGUUAAAUACUCACUGGGAUCUACUUCCAUAGCUACUUAGAAAACAUCAUUAUCAGUUCCAAUCACUUCUGAUUUGGUUUUUCUUUCCCUUGGCGCUUGGGAAGGUUAUUUUUAGUGGAAGAAGCCAAGGGCCCUAAUGCAACUAUAAAUAUUUAUCAGGGGUGAUGAAUGGAAGGGAUUGAUAGACCCUGAAACCAGCCCUCAGCUUUUCUUCCCAUCUCAGCUGAUAUGCAGCCACAGUUCUUAGCGAAAAGAGCUCGUUGGGUACCUACAGCCCUCGAGGAGAGAGAAAAUAAACACGCAUGGUGGCCACAGGUUCAGUUGAGUAUAAAUAUUGUGAAUGAGCUGUCAGGAAGGGAAGGGAAGUGAUGAUAACCUGGUGCGGCGUGGCAGCCUCACUGCCAAAGGGAGUGCGCUCUCGGAGACCGGGCAGGCUUCGUCUGCAUUUGCAGCUGAAUUUGCUGAAUUGGGACCUGCAGCGGCUUUGGCUGCAGCUCCGGGCGGGUUCAAGCACUGAAAAUAGGGAUGUUUUGCUGAUGGUUGUGCUCAGGGAGCAGCUGGAGUGGUGAAGGUUGUUGCAGCCAGACGUAGUAGGGCUGCACAGGCAUCGGGGCCUUCCUCCUCCUGCCCAGCAGUGUGAGCAGCUGGAGAGUUUGCAUUGCUCUGAUGGGAUCUCCCAGUACCUUGUGAGGGUGAGUGCCUGGGCAUUCCCAGCCGAAGCUGUUGGUCUGUCAUCGGAGCCGCAGGCAUCCUCCAGGGACUGGAUAUCUGAGUGCCAGAGGUGGGGGCUGUGCGUGGGGCAGCACAGGGCAGCGAUGGGAGAGCCCCUGGCAGGUGCGGGUUGCUGGAGUGGAAGCCGUUGCCUCCUUGAAGAUGCCACGGUAUGGAAGGGGAAGGAAGGGUUGACUACCCACAUCCUGUGACCAUCAGGGAAGUGUGUUACACAUGGAACCUGGAUCGCAGGGGAGCACCACAGUUGCUGGGUUUUUUCCAGUUCUUACUCACCCUUCUCGCUUUUGCUACCAUGACUGCCAGAAGGCAAAGCCACCUCAGCCACGAGUGUUCCUCUGGGCUUGUGGUCCAGGAGGAGCUGGAGAGGCACAGGUGACACCACCAGGACCUGCCACCACUGCCCCAGCUGGUCAGGCACUCUGAAGGGAGACCUUGAGAAUCGCCCCGGGUCAGGGCUCUUGCAGCCAUCACCUCCAAAGCUCGAGUAGGAGAGGAGGGUGCUGAUGCCUUUCCUCCCUGGUCCCAGGAACGAUGACAUCUGAGCUUUGUUCGGAAAAGCUGAUGGGAUCAGCAUGGUUUUGUACAGAUGCAGCCAGUUUACGGUCGGUGUCCGUUCAAUGCGACCCUGCGGCUGUGGCUCUGCAUUCCCUCACCCCCAGGGCUGUUUUUCAGCCAGGAGAGCGGUUUAGCAGAUGCUUUGUAUUAUUGCAAGGCUGGGACUGCAGGUUGGAGCCGGCUGCUGCUGGGAGGACAGUGUUUGCCCAGGAAGUUGCUUCCAGAGUGGGAGAAAUCAUCGUGUGUGUCUCCCCUGAAGCAGAAGGUCCUGGAAAGGCUGAAGUCCUGCAGUCACAGCUCUGAUAAUGUGCACCCUGCAACCAGCAAGAGCAUCCAGGCACUGGGAGCGAUGGAGAGCAGGGAGCUAGUGAAUGGAUCCGGGCUGCUUGCAUGCGUAGGGUCACCGAGGCAGGAGCUUAAUUGCACGUGUCCUCGUAACGUUGCUGCUGCUAGCUUCGCUCUGCCAUCGGUGCAGUGAUGGGAGUUACACCGCAGGGUCCCCCAGCCUUCCCCAUGUAGUGACGCUGAGGAGAGCAUGGUUCGCUGGCUAGGCAGUGUGGGCAGGCUGUCGUGACAUGCCCCUGAGGGUCUCAGAGGUCCUAGGUCACCAAGGGUCUCAUUCAGGAGGUCACCAUGGUCCCCAGACCUUGUGGGGAAGCCCAGCAUCCAGCACACCAGUGCAGACUGUCUGGCUACCCUGGGGUCUGCCCUCACCACACUGCUGCCCCAGGCACAGGUCUGGCACCAGUGUGGGCUCACAGGAGGGCGUGGACUGGUCCAGCAGAGCCUGGGAAGCACCGGAACAGGCACAGGUACUGACAUCCAAGCUCGGCUGUGGCCAUUGAGGAUGUUGCUGUGCCAGGAUGCCUGGGAUCUUUCUGAACCCCAGUGAUGCUGACAUCUCCUCCAGUAGUGAUGUACUGGAAUGUUGUGUGGGGGGAAACCACCUGGCACCUCAGCUUGCUUACGGUCAACUGUAAAACCUGCUUAUGGACUCAUGUUUGCCUUUGGAAUACUCGCCUUAAACCCCCCAGAGGAAUGGUUCAUGAUGGGAUGUAACUCAUGUCUCUAGGCUGUGUCCGGGUCCAAUGUGACUGGAGUUUGGGGGUUCCCAAGCUACCGUGCCAGAGGCACUGGCUGCCUGUCUGAAUCCUUGCUCAGUGCCUAGGAUGCAAGGGGGAUCGGCUCUGCGCAACCGGAGAGCUCCUGGGGUCAGAGCCAGGGCUGUGCGUGUGUGGGUGUGCAUGCAUGUGCGUGGGCACUGCUGGCAGUGUCGCGUGCCUGUGCUGCGCUCAGGAGACCCAUUGGAUCCAGGCUUCCCUGCUGGUGCCUCCCUGCCCAUCUCUUCUGCCCACCGCCUGCCCGCAUCCCCGAGCCUGCCAGUAAAGGAUAAAUAACCACGGAUACGGUUCGUUUCUUUCAAAACUGGGGGUUCUUUAUGCAGCUAGGGGGUCACUUGGUCGGGACCCCAAAAUGGGAGUCACCAGAAAGGGCAGGGCCAGAUCCAGAGCCUGAUGGACGGCAGGGCAUGGUGCUGUCGGAGCCAGGCAGUGGGCAGGGGCUGCAGUGUCGGGCAUCACUGCCAAGUCUGGGGGUCGGUGCAUUGAGACAGGCAUAGGGAGUAGCUGCUGCGUGCUCUGCGGUGACAUCGGCCCUGUCUGUGCAAUAAAUCCCUCGCCAACGCUGCCCAAACCCCUGACAUCGCCCCGGCAGCCUGCAAAACUGCCUUUGGGUCGCCUGUGCUUUCCUGGGGGGCUGUCCCCCUCCCAAGGGAUGCCCGAUGCCCUGUACAGACCCACUGCAGCAUAGCUACAGCUGCUGGAAUUAAGUCUCUUCUCAAUUACCACUUGGGCUGAGCAGGGGCUGGGGCAGGGGCUGGGGCUCCUGGCACCUUCUCCUGCCGGUAGCACACAUCGAAUUUGGAUCGCAGUGAACCUUUGCCAUUUCCCUAGGGCCAAACCUGCCUGAACAAGAAAUCAAAAUUCCGCCUGGAAACAUUUAUCUGUGGAUAGAGCCAUGUCCUCGCGUUGGCAGCCCUGGCUGGUGACUUGGUGCUGGGGGGGUUGAUGCCAGAAAAGGGAAAACCCCAGUUUCAUGAGGCAGGGAACAGUGUUCCUAAGGCAGGGAACAGGGCCAAGGUGCACUGCGGAGAUUCCCAGCCCAGCUGUUCUGUGGGUGAUGUGCACAAGGGACACAGCAGCUACAGCCGCCCUUGGCACAGGUGGAGGCUCCUGGGCUCCCCAGAUCCUGGCCAUGCCCACCCAAACAGGGCAUCCCCAGCAGUUGAAGGGCGAGGACCACACCAAGCCUUCACACCGUUCCCUGUAUCCAGCACCAGGCAAACGCAGCAGGCAUGGGAGGUGCGGGAGCGGUUGUCAAACCCGCGCUGGAGCCAAUGCUGUAAGCGUGGGGAAUGUCUCCAAAAGAAACCUGUGAACUGGAAGCCAUGUUCUGUCAUCUGCCAAACACUGAAUAAAUUCA